CAAUAGUGUAUAUUAAAGUUGUUGCAGUUAAGAAGCUCGUAGUUGGAUUUGUGGUUGGAGCGGUCGGUCCGACACUGAGUGUGGGUACUUGACUGCCUCCGUCCAUCCUUGGGUGGAACCUGUGUGGCAUUAGGUUGUCGUGCAGGGGAUGCCCAUCUUUUACUGUGAAUAAAUUAGAGUGUUCAAAGCAGGCUUACGCCGUUGAAUAUGCUAGCAUGGAAUAAUAAGAUAGGACCUUGGUACUAUUUUGUUGGUUUCUAGAGCUGGGGUAAAGAUUAAUAGGGAUAGUUGGGGGCAUUCGUAUUUAACUGUCAGAGGUGAAAUUCUUGGAUUUGUUAAAGACGGACUACUGCGAANGNAUUUGCNAAGGAUGUUUNCAUUG
RNAcentral lists this ribosomal RNA (382 nucleotides) under uncultured eukaryote. RNAcentral describes it as "partial 18S ribosomal RNA". It matches the Rfam family "Eukaryotic small subunit ribosomal RNA", at positions 592 to 975 of the family's 1831-position model. The record is from RNAcentral.